Molecule: ribosomal RNA, 263 nt
Filed under: uncultured archaeon
Lineage: Archaea
Description: partial 16S ribosomal RNA
Rfam family: Archaeal small subunit ribosomal RNA
Source: RNAcentral
AGACGUCUACAUUAGAUACCCCUGUAGUCCCAGCCCUAAACGAUGCGCGUUAGGUGUAUCGGUGACCACGAGUCACCGAGGUGCCGAAGGGAAACCGUGAAACGUGCCGCCUGGGAAGUACGGUCGCAAGACUGAAACUUAAAGGAAUUGCGGGGAGCACCACAACGCGUGGAGCCUGCGGUUUAAUUGGACUCAACGCCGGGAAGCUCACCGGAUAAGACAGCGGAAUGAUUGCCGGGCUGAAGACCCUGCAUGACCAGCUG